Molecule: microRNA precursor, 83 nt
Organism: Gorilla gorilla gorilla (western lowland gorilla)
Lineage: Eukaryota; Metazoa; Chordata; Mammalia; Primates; Hominidae
Source: Ensembl
AUUAGGUUGGUGCAAAAGUAAUCACAGUUUUUGCCGUUGAAAGUACCGGCAAAAACAGCGAUUACUUUUGCAACAACCUAAUA